CCACGCUCCGUACGAGAGAGCGGACCGGCCAAUCAGAAGCUUUGAAUGAGUAUUUUACAAACUGAAGAAUUGGAUUGCUCUAGUUAGCGGCUGGGCUGGAAAGAACCGAGAGUGUGGCCUUAUUGCGGGAAGUGACCCUACUCUUGGACCGUGUGUUGUGGGGGGGGAGAAGAAAGUCGUGACCUUGGUCCUUCCCCACCCCAGGAGUGGUCAUGAUGACUCCCAGUGGGGAUUUGAUGGACACCCAUCUGCAAACUGCCUUUUCCACCCCCAGCAGGAUUCCCGUGUUGGCCCGGAAAUGCCUGCUUCUUUCUGGUGGAGGGUCCCAAGCCUCGGGCCAGGAGAAUCGGGAUCCAAAGGAGAUGAUGCAGAAGAAGAUGUUUGGUGCUCAGCUUCUCCAGAAAGACCUAGUCAGCCCUAGGCAGAAGCUGAAACAGCAGACUGUGGGCCUGAAGGGAAGCCUUCGACCCCGGGCCCCACUGGAGGAAAUCAGCCCAGGCUCUGUGGGGCAAAAUAUGGAGGCUGUUCCUCCGCCUAGGCCAGGUGCUCCUUUAAGGUCUAGAAAUACACCUCUCUUGGCUGUUGACUGCUGCUUAGAUGGAAAAGAGCCAGCCACAGCAAGGUCGACUGGGAAAGGGGCAAGACUGAUGGACCCUGGAGAUUUGGCCACCAUGCUGUCAAAGGUGGAGGUGACUAGCAGUGGUCACAGCUGCCAGACGGGUCUGGCCCAAAGAGUACUGAUCCGGGGGAACCAAAACCAAAAAUGUGCCUCCUAUGGGAUACAGACCCCAGGACGUUAUACCAGAUCUUCAUUCUUCAGUAGCAAUCAAGAGUCAACAGAAAGAAAUGUCAUCAGCCAGACCCAGAUGGGCAGUGAUUCAGGACAGCCCUGGAUAAGAACUAGGCUACCAGCUCACCAACCCCCAGGAGAGCCGACCAUCCCCGCCUCCUCCGAAAUGCUGAACAGUUCCCAAAGUAGACGUGAAACCCACAGUCUUGCUCAGCAGGUGCCACUGAAAGGAACACAUGAAGCCCCUCUCCCCAUGGAUAGCCCUAGCUUCCCUUGGACCUCUUCUCCUCUCAUUCAGUUCACUCCUGGCCAGGUAGGCCAUGCCUCGCCCUUUGGACUGGCUAAUCGUGUACCUGUCACCCAUCCGCCAGCUCUGACCUCCUACUCUGUGGUACGUCAUGUGCCCGUCUUCUCCAAGACUCCUCAGGCCACCCGUGCUCCAACUUCCAGUGUUCAGCAGGAGCAGAUUGUUGUCAGGCAGUUGUAUGAAGAGAGCUGGGCAAAUCUGGAGGAGGAACCUGAGAAACCCUCCCCCGUAACUCCUCUAAACAGAACGUCUUUGGAACUGAGCAAACACAAGGCAGACCCCAGGGAUACGGAUACAGGGGUAGCCACCCCAUCCAACAAGACGUCCCUGGAACAGAGCAGAUAUGAGGUGGGCCCCAAAGAUGUUGGGGUAGCAGCUUCAUCAAACAGGAUGUCCCUGGAGCUGAGCAGGCAUGAGGUAGGUCCCAGGGAUGUAGGGGUAGCAGCCCCAUCCUCCAGGAGGUUGUCACAGGGACCGAAUGGCCUCAUGACUCCUUUGUUUAUCUUAUUUACAGCGCAUCAAUAUCUUGAAGCAGCUAUUACAACAGGAGGUAGAAGGGCUGGCUAAAGUAGAGGAUAGCCACCAGAGUGGCCUGUCUCACCUAAAAAUGACUGAGCCCAAGUUGGCUAUGAUUCCUUGUGCAAUGGAACCCUCAGAGCAUGGUUCUUCACUUCCCAGCCUCCAAGGACCUAUGCAGCACCCCGAUGUUGGGGAACCCAUCUCCACUGGGGGCCCAGGCAUUCAAGAACUCAUACAGCAGCCUAACGUUGGCAUGCACACCACAGCUUCCACCAACCUGACCUUUUUUCAAUGCCCACUCUGUGGCAGCAUUCCUCUCCAUUCUCUUGACUCCCUAAGGAAUCCCAUGGGCACUAUAGGUAAGGAGCCAGAUUUAAGGGGGAGUGGGUAGGCAAAGGCACUUUUCCCUGGGUACUGAGGGAGAAAUCCCUCCUUGAAUAAGGGGGUGCCCUAUCUUUCCUUCUCUGUCUCACUUUGGUCUCAUCCACUUUUCAUGUGGGGCAUAGAAGGGGGAAAAAUCUUAUACCAGAACCUGUGCCAUCUUCCUUCUGACCAACUUUACCUUCAGAUUGAAUAGUCAAAAAAUAUCUCUGCCUACUUCUCUCCAUGCUUAUUUCAUUCAAUCCCCUACCCCCAGGUCCUGCUGUCAUAGCCCUAUGCCGGCAACUAAAUGCAUGGCUGGAAGCCAUUAGACUCCUCUAUGAAGCCUGCCUGGAUGACGAGUGUGCCUUCUAUACCGGGCGAGGCAUUCCUGGUCCCCAGAGGAUCUGUAAGAAUCCCGUAGCCACAUGGCUGGAGAGGCAGGAGGCCAUGGUAAACCUCACUUGGCAGUGGGGGGUCAGGGUGGGGGUGGACUUGUCUGGCUUUGUAGGCCUUUUACCCAGUGAAGACCCGGGUAAAGAAAAGCUGGCCCUGAGUUUUAGGAGGAGCCCAGACUAACAGGAUAUCUUCUCUUUCUAGGAUUUUGUUCCAAUCACUUCUCCAGCUACCUAGGACUAUUCCAAACCUCCCCACACUUCAUUCCUCGUUAUUUAUUAUACAUGGACCUUAUUUUUUUUAAUCUUUCAAUAAAAUGUUAU
RNAcentral lists this long non-coding RNA (2695 nucleotides) under Vombatus ursinus (common wombat). RNAcentral's name for it is "lncRNA (ENSVURG00010006613.1)". The record is from RNAcentral. Lineage: Eukaryota; Metazoa; Chordata; Mammalia; Diprotodontia; Vombatidae.